CUGCACCUCAAGUGGUCAGGAUGAUUAUUGGGCCUAAAGCAUCCGUAGCCGGCGCUGUAAGUUUUCGGUUAAAUCUGUACGCUCAACGUACAGGCUGCCGGGAAUACUGCAGCGCUAGGGAGUGGGAGAGGUAGACGGUACUCGGUAGGAAGGGGUAAAAUCCUUUGAUCUAUUGAUGACCACCUGUGGCGAAGGCGGUCUACCAGAACACGUCCGACGGUGAGGGAUGAAAGCUGGGGGAGCAAACCGGAUUAGAUACCCGUGUAGUCC
RNAcentral lists this ribosomal RNA (270 nucleotides) under uncultured archaeon. Its description in RNAcentral is "partial 16S ribosomal RNA". It matches the Rfam family "Archaeal small subunit ribosomal RNA", at positions 477 to 747 of the family's 1478-position model. The record is from RNAcentral.